This 292-nucleotide long non-coding RNA is filed under the name Volvox carteri. RNAcentral's name for it is "long non-coding RNA (VCAR_LNC000001)". The record is from RNAcentral. Lineage: Eukaryota; Viridiplantae; Chlorophyta; Chlorophyceae; Chlamydomonadales; Volvocaceae.
GCCACGUCAUCCUCCUCUCUCACCGCCUCCACCACCGCCACCUCCACCACCACCGCCACCGCCGCCGCCAUUUCCACCACCACCGCCACCGCCGCCGCCGCCGCCACCGCCACCACCAUCCCCAUCCCCUCCAUCCCAGCCACGUCAUCCCCCUCUACCGCCGCCUCCACCACCGCCACCUCCUCCACCACCACCGCCACCGCCGCCGCCAUUUCCACCACCACCACCACCACCUCCGCCGCCGCCACCGCCACCACCAUCCCCAUCCCCUCCAUCGCAGCCACGUCAUCCC